GGAAUUUUGGGCAAUGGGCGAAAGCCUGACCCAGCAACGCCGCGUGAAGGAUGAAGUCCUUUGGGAUGUAAACUUCGUAAGAAUGGGAAGAAUAAAUGACGGUACCAUUUGUAAGGUCCGGCUAACUACGUUCCAGCAGACGCGGUAAUACGUAGGGACCAAGCGUUGUUCGGCUUUACGGGGCGUAAAGGGAGCGUAGGCGGCGCGUCAAGUCAGCUGUGAAAUCUUGAGGCUUAACCUCAAGCGGUCAGCUGAUACUGUCGUGCUAGAGUGCAGAAAGGGCAAUCGGAAUUCUUGGUGUAGCGGUGAAAUGCGUAGAUAUCAAGAGGAACACCUGAGGCGAAGGCGGGUUGCUAGGCUGACACUGACGCUGAGGCUCGAAAGCCAGGGGAGCAAAC
This 398-nucleotide ribosomal RNA is filed under the name uncultured bacterium. Its description in RNAcentral is "bacterial SSU rRNA". It matches the Rfam family "Bacterial small subunit ribosomal RNA", at positions 358 to 773 of the family's 1533-position model. The record is from RNAcentral.